UACGGAGGGUGCGAGCGUUGUCCGGAAUCAUUGGGCGUAAAGGGCGCGUAGGUGGCGGGACAAGCGUGCGGUGAAAGCCUGGGGCUCAACCCCGGGUCGGCCGUGCGAACUGUUUUGCUUGAGCACUGUAGAGGCAGGCGGAAUUCCGGGUGUAGCGGUGGAAUGCGUAGAGAUCCGGAAGAACACCGGUGGCGAAGGCGACACGCUGGGCCGUACCUGACGCUAAAGCGCGACAGCAUGGGGAGCAAACGGG
RNAcentral lists this ribosomal RNA (253 nucleotides) under uncultured bacterium. RNAcentral's name for it is "partial 16S ribosomal RNA". It matches the Rfam family "Bacterial small subunit ribosomal RNA", at positions 524 to 776 of the family's 1533-position model. The record is from RNAcentral.